UCCCCCCACUGCACCCCACCGCGUCUCGCCCCGCCCGCGGGCUGGAUCCGGCCCAGGGCGCCGCGCCUCUCGUGAGCCGUGUAAUUAGAGCCUGGUGGUGUCAGGGUUGUAAUUAUGCAGAUUGAGAGUGUGAGGGGAAUGGGAAUCACAAAUAGAGGCUUUGUUGGGCUUGAAAGGAGCUAAUUCAGCCAAAAGCUGCCGUUUGUAGGUUUGAAACGUGCUGAUUCUGGGAGUUUUGGCUCAAAGCGAGGAAAGCGACGCGUUUUUCAAGUUGUGUCGGUGGUGAAGGAAAGACUGAACCGAGCAUUGCAGAAAACGACGUAACUAUGUAUUGGUUAUGUACAGGAGAACUGAAGUGAAAGAUGCCCUCGUGUUGAAAUGACUCCCUUAACCAAAUCCAGACACGUAGGCUGUUGCCCCAGCUGAUGCUUCCAAUUUCUUUGGCACCAAGCCUGCUUUGAAUGGGCAAGGUGCCAUUGCCUCCCUCUAAGUGCCUCUAUUGAUUGCAUAGGUACAACUCUACAGAGAGGCUUGAAGAGAUGAACUUGCAGUGCGACCAAGAUCUCCCUCACAGGGAAGGAAGUCUUCAUGCACUUCUUCAACAUCGACUAUAGAGGAAGCCUCGCAGGGGACUUAGAAGAUUUUGAAGUUUUGUUCACAGUGAUACACAAAAGAGCCAAGGGUGAGCCUCUGACUGCGAACCCAAAUGACACCGACAGAUCCCUGCCCUGAGGUCAGUCUCUCUACAGCACAUUUACCUUGAGGAGAAUUAAUUGGAAUAGUCCAAAGUGAAACCGUGAAGAAAGAAUUGCAAGCAUGAUAGAAAAAUUUUGGGAGCACUUGUUACCUCAGGUUUCCAGCACUUCAUAUACUCAGGCCCCAGUCAAUGCUGGGCAUCAAGCUGCCAAGAGUCCAAACAAGUACUUAGGCAUGGGAUGCUUUCUCUUUGCAUGGCAUCUUCUGCAUCAAACUCAGUCCAUCAAAGAACUGCCCUGCUCUCUUGCUCCCAAAAUUAGCUCUAGCCAAAAGUUAGGAAAUAACCAGCAAUCACUGAU
Cyanistes caeruleus (blue tit) is the source of this 1055-nucleotide non-coding RNA. The record is from RefSeq and is a predicted model, not a curated record. NCBI's taxonomy places the organism in Eukaryota, Metazoa, Chordata, Aves, Passeriformes, Paridae.